GACGAACGCUGGCGGCGUGCCUAAUACAUGCAAGUAGAACGCUGAGGAGAGGAGCUUGCUCUUCUUGGAUGAGUGGCGGACGGGUGAGUAACGCGUAGGUAACCUGCCUUGUAGCGUGGGAUAACUAUUGGAAACGAUAGCUAAUACCGCAUAACAAUUUAUAACACAUGGCAUUUAUUUGAAAGGGGCAAUUGCUCCAAUACAAAAUGGACCUCCCUUCUAUUAGCUAGUAGGGGAGGGAAUGGCUCACCUAAGGGACCAUAGAUAGCCGACCUUAGAGGGGGGUACGGCAAAAUGGGAACGGGACCAGGGCCAGAAUCCUUAGGGAGGCAGCAGUAGGGAAUCCUCGGCAAUGGGGGGAAAGCCGACCGAGCAACGGCGCGUGAGUGAAGAAGGUUCUCGGAUCGUAAAGUCCUGUUGUAAGUCAAGAAAGGGUGUGAGAGGGGACAGUUCACACUGUGACGGUAGCUUACCAGAAAGGGACGGCUAACUACGUG
RNAcentral lists this ribosomal RNA (497 nucleotides) under uncultured bacterium. RNAcentral describes it as "partial 16S ribosomal RNA". It matches the Rfam family "Bacterial small subunit ribosomal RNA", at positions 28 to 507 of the family's 1533-position model. The record is from RNAcentral.